CCAGAAUUCAAAUUUGGACAUGAACAUCACAGCUCAGGCCCAUCUCUGAUACAUAUCAAGAUAUAAGUAGAAAAUUCAGCUCAUAAAUUAAUAGGAGCACUGGAGUCAGGGUGGAAAGUAGCCAAACGAGCAAAUGCUUCCAAAAUCGAAGAAGUCAGUUUUCUACAUUUUAUGAGCAGCAUGAAGGUCUCUGCUCCUUGGUUGUGUUGAACCAGUGCAAUCACUUAAAAAAUGCUAUUGCCAGCGAAAGGGAAGGAUGCUGUGAGGCCGGGCUUGCCCCAUGUAGCUGGGAGGUGUCACAAUGUUUUCCUAAGCGAAGAAGACCAACAGAAAGACAAACCAGUGUGCCUGGAGAAAGGAUGGUCUUGUGGUUAAGACCUGAGACUUGAAGUGACCUUGACUAAUGCAGCCGGAUCACCGCCUCACG
Gopherus evgoodei (Goodes thornscrub tortoise) is the source of this 427-nucleotide long non-coding RNA. RefSeq lists it as uncharacterized. The transcript has 3 exons. NCBI's taxonomy places the organism in Eukaryota, Metazoa, Chordata, Testudines, Testudinidae. The record is from RefSeq and is a predicted model, not a curated record.